GACGAACGCUGGCGGCGUGCUUAACACAUGCCAGUCGAACGGAAAGGCCCUGCUUGCAGGGUACUCGAGUGGCGAACGGGUGAGUAACACGUGGGUGAUCUGCCCUGCACUUCGGGAUAAGCCUGGGAAACUGGGUCUAAUACCGGAUAUGAGCCAUUUUUAGUGUGAUGGUUGGAAAGUUUUUUCGGUGUAGGAUGAGCUCGCGGCCUAUCAGCUUGUUGGUGGGGUAAUGGCCUACCAAGGCGGCGACGGGUAGCCGGCCUGAGAGGGUGGACGGCCACAUUGGGACUGAGAUACGGCCCAGACUCCUACGGGAGGCAGCAGUGGGGAAUAUUGCACAAUGGGCGCAAGCCUGAUGCAGCGACGCCGCGUGGGGGAUGACGGCCUUCGGGUUGUAAACUCCUUUCGCUAGGGACGAAGCUUUUUGUGACGGUACCUAGAUAAGAAGCACCGGCUAACUACGUG
Molecule: ribosomal RNA, 465 nt
Filed under: uncultured bacterium
Lineage: Bacteria
Description: partial 16S ribosomal RNA
Rfam family: Bacterial small subunit ribosomal RNA
Source: RNAcentral